Molecule: unclassified non-coding RNA, 280 nt
Filed under: Pseudopithomyces sp.
Lineage: Eukaryota; Fungi; Ascomycota; Dothideomycetes; Pleosporales; Didymosphaeriaceae
Also listed under: 2 other names
Description: partial internal transcribed spacer region
Rfam family: Eukaryotic small subunit ribosomal RNA (bases 1-46)
Source: RNAcentral
AAGUCGUAACAAGGUUUCCGUAGGUGAACCUGCGGAAGGAUCAUUAACCUUUCAAAACAGGGUGCGUCGCGGCCCCCGAGGUGCGGAAACAAGCCUCGAGCGGUUUGGGGUCCUCCCCUUCACGCGCGCACGACUGCCAUCCUUACUUUACGAGCACCUUCUGUUCUCCCUCGGCGGGGCAACCUGCCGUUGGAACCGAAUAAACUCUUUUUGCAUCUAGCAUUACCUGUUCCGAAACAAACAAUCGUUACAACUUUCAACAAUGGAUCUCUUGGCUCUG